GUGAGGAAUCUUCCACAAUGGGCGAAAGCCUGAUGUAGCAACGCCGCGUGAAGGAUGAAGGUCUUCGGAUUGUAAACUUCUUUUAUGAGUGAAGAAUAUGACGGUAACUCAUGAAUAAGCACCGGCUAACUACGUGCCAGCAGCCGCGGUCAUACGUAGGGUGCAAGCAUUAUCCGGAGUGACUGGGCGUAAAGAGUUGCGUAGGCGGUUAUGUAAGCGAAUAGUGAAACCUGGUGGCUCAACCACACAGACUAUUAUUCGAACUGCAUAACUCGAGAAUGGUAGAGGUAACUGGAAUUUCUUGUGUAGGAGUGAAAUCCGUAGAUAUAAGAAGGAACACCAAUGGCGUAGGCAGGUUACUGGGCCAUUUCUGACGCUAAGGCACGAAAGCGUGGGGAGCGAACCGGAUUAGAAACCCCAGUAGUCC
Molecule: ribosomal RNA, 427 nt
Filed under: uncultured bacterium
Lineage: Bacteria
Description: partial 16S ribosomal RNA
Rfam family: Bacterial small subunit ribosomal RNA
Source: RNAcentral